Molecule: ribosomal RNA, 486 nt
Filed under: uncultured bacterium
Lineage: Bacteria
Description: partial 16S ribosomal RNA
Rfam family: Bacterial small subunit ribosomal RNA (bases 13-373)
Source: RNAcentral
AUUGAACGCUGGCGGCAGGCCUAACACAUGCAAGUCGAGCGGAAACGAAGGGAGCUUGCUCCCAGGCGUCGAGCGGCGGACGGGUGAGUAACACGUGAGAAUCUGCCCAUUAGUGGGGGACAACUCGGGGAAACUCGAGCUAAUACCGCAUAAUCCCUACGGGGGAAAGCAGGGGACCUUUUGGCCUUGCGCUGAUGGAUGAGCUCACGUCGGAUUAGCUUGUUGGUGAGGUAAAGGCUCACCAAGGCGACGAUCCGUAGCUGGUCUGAGAGGAUGAUCAGCCAAACGGGGAUUGAGACACGGCCAGGCCCCCUCGGGGGGGCAGAGGGGGGGAAUUGUGGAAAAGGGGGGAACCCCUGACCCACCCAGGCCGGGGGGGGAAAGAGGGCCUGGGGGUGGUAAAGAACUUCCAGGGGGGAGAAGGGUUUGGGCGGAAGGGGUGGAGGUACUGGAGGUACCUGGAAGAAGAGCACCGGGCUAUUUGCG